CGGGAGGUGGUUUUUCCCCGAAGCCGGAAUGCGACGCACAGGCUACCUUUUUUUUAAAAAAAAAAAGAAGGAACCGACUAAGGACGAUCCCGCCCGUUCUUCUGAUUGGCUUGGAGAGGGAAGCGAUAGGCGGGAGGAAUAGGGAGUGUUUAUAGUGAACUGCAAGGUGAUUGCAGAAGGUGGCUGUCCGUCAAAGGCGCCGCUGGUGCGGGGCUGGGUUUCUGGCCCCUAAGGGUGAUUGCAGACCUAGAGAUUGGCUUCGCUGCAGCUGUGGGCAGUGCAGCUGCCUGUGGGUUUCUCUCCUGUUCUCAUCUCCGCCAGGACCUGGGCGCGCCCUCUCCUCCGCCACUGGCAACUAGGGUUUUUGCGCAUAGCCUUUAUUUCACCAGUUCCUCCUGGGAUCUUACCUGACAACCUGAAGUAAUGACCCUGUCAGGCACCCCCCGACACCCCGGCCGCUCCCCGCCCAACAUAGAGUCAACUGGUCUUCAGUGGGAUUGAAUCAGCUGAGCUAGACACAAAAUGUUUUUAGGUGGUUCACAGACCCCUGGUGUGGAGAAAGAGGACAAAGAAUGAAACUUCAGGGGAAUCCUAGCAUCUAAGGAAUAAACAGAGUAAAAUGGGAAAGAGACCGAGAAGGAAUAAUCAGAGAAGUAGGCGCAUCAGCAAGCUAUGGGCAGACAGUUUGGAAAAAAAAGAGAGGCAAGCUAACAUAAAAAGAAAGCAAGCGGGAUGGGUUCUGGAAACAAGGAUCAUUCAAUCUUACGAAGGUUGGAAAGCAGGGUGCAUGGACAAAGUAGCUUGAAAGGUGUUAGGGUCUAGGGAGGAUUCUUUCAGGGACAGGAAGAGAGAGCAGUGAUGGGUGAGAAUUGAGUCCAUCUGUAGACAUUGGGGGCCAAGACAAAGUGGAGAGACAUGUUGAAGAAUCAAGAGAGAUGGGGAGACAGAUAUAAGGCUUGAAUCCAGUAUCUAAUUCAAUUUCCACUUUCAAUAAAGAAAAUGAUCUAAUAAUACAAGAGCACAGUGUGCAUUUUACAGAAAACAGCAUAGUUAUCGCUUAUUUUGCUAGUCAAUUCUAAAAUGUUAAGAUAAUCGUAAUAAUCAUAUUGAUUCUUAUUUUCUAUUAAGAGUUCUCUGAUGUCCUUCCUGAGUGGUUUACGAAGUCACUACAACCUACAGCCAUUAUGAUCUCAUAUAAUAAUAUAUUCUGCAUCUUUAGUAGGCUUUAAGUGUGUGGAGUUUUUUAAUGGCUUAUUUGUAGAAAUGGUCAUAAAUUAUUUUCAUCCAAGUUACCCUUCAGAAACAAUCCACAUGAUGAUCAGAAGGUUUUUGCACCCUAUUUAUUACUGUUCUCUGGAAGUUCUCAAACUUUCUUAUGUGGUCAUUCUGGUUUCUUUUAACAUGCUUCCCUUACUCCAAAGGGAGAGGGGGAAGAGAGAAAAAA
RNAcentral lists this long non-coding RNA (1444 nucleotides) under Homo sapiens (human). Its description in RNAcentral is "HSALNT0032541". The record is from RNAcentral. Lineage: Eukaryota; Metazoa; Chordata; Mammalia; Primates; Hominidae.